GGUGCCUCAACAAUGGGCUCUAAAUUUGAUCUAAUCAAAUCCGGUUCGAUGUUUUCACUGAUUUGUGUUGGUUCUUCUAUCUAUCGAACUUCAUCAAAUUCAACCUUAGAGGCAUUAGUUCCUUCACUAAAGAACUCUUUUUUCAAAAAGACUGCCUUAUUGCUGACGAAUACAUUUUGUUCUUCAGCAAGAUUGAAGUAGUAUGCCCUAGAUUUCUUGAUAUACCCUACAAACAAGUACUUAUCAGAUCGAGAUCCAAGCUUAUCGAUCUACAAAUAUUUGACAUAAGUCGAACAACCC
This 300-nucleotide long non-coding RNA is filed under the name Elaeis guineensis (African oil palm). Its description in RNAcentral is "long non-coding RNA (EGUI_LNC045203)". Lineage: Eukaryota; Viridiplantae; Streptophyta; Magnoliopsida; Arecales; Arecaceae. The record is from RNAcentral.